This 490-nucleotide ribosomal RNA is filed under the name uncultured bacterium. RNAcentral describes it as "bacterial SSU rRNA". It matches the Rfam family "Bacterial small subunit ribosomal RNA", at positions 29 to 507 of the family's 1533-position model. The record is from RNAcentral.
AGUGAACGCUGGCGGCAGGCCUAAUACAUGCAAGUCGAACGGCAGCACAGCAGAGCUUGCUCUGUGGGUGGCGAGUGGCGGACGGGUGAGGAAUACAUGGGAAUCUGCCCAGUCGUGGGGGAUAACGUAGGGAAACUUACGCUAAUACCGCAUGCGCCCUUCGGGGGAAAGCCGGGGACCUUCGGGCCUGGCGCGAUUGGAUGAGCCCAUGUCGGAUUAGCUAGUUGGCGGGGUAAUGGCCCACCAAGGCGACGAUCCGUAGCUGGUCUGAGAGGAUGAUCAGCCACACUGGAACUGAGACACGGUCCAGACUCCUACGGGAGGCAGCAGUAGGGAAUAUUGGACAAUGGGCGCAAGCCUGAUCCAGCCAUGCCGCGUGAGUGAAGAAGGCCCUCGGGUUGUAAAGCUCUUUCGGCCGGGAAGAAAUCGCACAGGUUAAUACCCUGUGUGGAUGACGGUACCGGAAUAAGGAGCACCGGCUAACUACGUG